CGGACGGGUGAGUAACGCGUGGGUAACCUGCCUCAUACAGGGGGAUAACGGUUAGAAAUGACUGCUAAUACCGCAUAAGCGCACAGUACCGCAUGGUACAGUGUGAAAAACUCCGGUGGUAUGAGAUGGACCCGCGUCUGAUUAGCUAGUUGGUAAGGUAACGGCUUACCAAGGCGACGAUCAGUAGCCGACCUGAGAGGGUGACCGGCCACAUUGGGACUGAGACACGGCCCAA
RNAcentral lists this ribosomal RNA (235 nucleotides) under uncultured bacterium. RNAcentral describes it as "partial 16S ribosomal RNA". It matches the Rfam family "Bacterial small subunit ribosomal RNA", at positions 99 to 334 of the family's 1533-position model. The record is from RNAcentral.